AACCGGAUUAGAUACCCUGGUAGUCCACGCCGUAAACGAUGUCGACUUGGAGGUUGUGCCCUUGAGGCGUGGCUUCCGGAGCUAACGCGUUAAGUCGACCGCCUGGGGAGUACGGCCGCAAGGUUAAAACUCAAAUGAAUUGACGGGGGCCCGCACAAGCGGUGGAGCAUGUGGUUUAAUUCGAUGCAACGCGAAGAACCUUACCUACUCUUGACAUCCAGAGAACUUAGCAGAGAUGCUUUGGUGCCUUCGGGAACUCUGUGACAGGUGCUGCAUGGCUGUCGUCAGCUCGUGUUGUGAAAUGUUGGGUUAAGUCCCGCAACGAGCGCAACCCUUAUCCUUUGUUGCCAGCGGUUAGGCCGGGAACUCAAAGGAGACUGCCAGUGAUAAACUGGAGGAAGGUGGGGAUGACGUCAAGUCAUCAUGGCCCUUACGAGUAGGGCUACACACGUGCUACAAUGGCGCAUACAAAGAGAAGCGACCUCGCGAGAGCAAGCGGACCUCAUAAAGUGCGUCGUAGUCCGGAUUGGAGUCUGCAACUCGACUCCAUGAAGUU
This 556-nucleotide ribosomal RNA is filed under the name uncultured bacterium. RNAcentral's name for it is "bacterial SSU rRNA". It matches the Rfam family "Bacterial small subunit ribosomal RNA", at positions 771 to 1327 of the family's 1533-position model. The record is from RNAcentral.